RNAcentral lists this unclassified non-coding RNA (384 nucleotides) under soil metagenome. RNAcentral's name for it is "partial contains 5.8S ribosomal RNA, internal transcribed spacer 2, and large subunit ribosomal RNA". The stretch from base 1 to 120 matches the Rfam family "5.8S ribosomal RNA", at positions 35 to 154 of the family's 154-position model. The record is from RNAcentral.
GAUGAAGAACGUAGCGAAAUGCGAUAAGUAAUGUGAAUUGCAGAAUACAGUGAAUCAUCGAAUCUUUGAACGCAUCUUGCGCUCCUUGGUAUUCUGAGGAGCAUGCCUGUUUGAGUGUCAUUUCAAGUUCUCAACCACAUCAAUUUCAAUGUGGCUUGGAUGGUGGGGGUUCUUUUUGCAGGCUUCUGUAAAUAUGAAGUCGGCUCCCCUGAAAUGUAUUAGUGGUAUCUGAGCUACUACAGGUGUGAUAACUAUCUAUGCCUUGGUAUGCUGCAUGAAACAGAUUGCGCCGCUUCUAACAAGUGGGAAACACAAUUUUGAUGAAUUUGACCUCAAAUCAGGUAGGACUACCCGCUGAACUUAAGCAUAUCAAUAAGCGGAGGA